UGGGGAAUAUUGCACAAUGGGCGAAAGCCUGAUGCAGCGACGCCGCGUGAGGGAUGACGGCCUUCGGGUUGUAAACCUCUUUCAGCAGGGACGAAGCGCAAGUGACGGUACCUGCAGAAGAAGCACCGGCUAACUACGUGCCAGCAGCCGCGGUAAUACGUAGGGUGCAAGCGUUGUCCGGAAUUACUGGGCGUAAAGAGUUCGUAGGCGGUUUGUCGCGUCGUUUGUGAAAACCAGCAGCUCAACUGCUGGCUUGCAGGCGAUACGGGCAGACUUGAGUACUGGAGGGGAGACUGGAAGUCCUGGUGUAGCGGUGAAAUGCGCAGAUAUCAGGAGGAACACCGGUGGCGAAGGCGGGUCUCUGGGCAGUAACUGACGCUGAGGAACGAAAGCGUGGGUAGCGAACAGG
RNAcentral lists this ribosomal RNA (409 nucleotides) under bacterium. Its description in RNAcentral is "partial 16S ribosomal RNA". It matches the Rfam family "Bacterial small subunit ribosomal RNA", at positions 355 to 776 of the family's 1533-position model. The record is from RNAcentral.